Bubalus bubalis (water buffalo) is the source of this 2317-nucleotide RNA transcript. RefSeq lists it as uncharacterized. The record is from RefSeq and is a predicted model, not a curated record. The transcript is spliced from 4 exons. Lineage: Eukaryota; Metazoa; Chordata; Mammalia; Artiodactyla; Bovidae.
CUGAAGUUCGCUCCUAGAAAAAUCUGCUUAUGUCCCCAAGAGCUCUGGAGAGGAUCUUGGCGUAGAGAGGCUGUUGUGCCUACUGAGAGGGUGGGAGCCAGGGUUAUACCGGCUCCUUGGCGCGUUUUCUCUAAGCUGGACGAGGCUGCGUGUGGACCUCCGAACCGUGGCCUGAGACGAGGCGACCUUGCGCGGGCGGGAGGAGCCUGGAGGUGGGACCCUGAAGGCGCGCCUCGCCGGCAAAGGCAACCCGCGCGGAGCGCGCACGGCCACUGAGCGCCGGCGCCUCCAGCAUGGAGUGGGAGCUCAACUUUCUGCUCUACCUGGCGCUCUUCUUCUUUCUGCUCUUCUUACUUUUCCUCCUGCUCUUCGUGGUCAUCAAACAGCUGAAGAACUCGGUGGCCAAUACGGCCGGGGCGCUCCAGCCCGGGCGCCUCUCCCUGCACCGGGAGCCUUGGGGCUUCUCCCGCGAGCAAGCGGUGUGACGGGCGCCGCGCGGACACUGGCGGGAGGGCAUGGAACUGUGCGGGCACCGGGCUGGGGCUCGGCCUCGAUUCUCUGGCCGCACGGCCUCCCGGGUUCUAGGGCCAGGCUCGGCUGCCUCGCUGGCAGGUUCUGGAGCGGAGCUGCUGCCCUGGGCUGGUGUGUGGAGGACGGUGGAGUUACGGGCCGGUAACCAGGCGGGAGUAACCAGAGACAGACGACUUCUGCGAUGUAAUGCCACUGGUGUCCAAAGGUUUAAACCACCCCUGACUCUUCUAGACAGGAGACUGGAGAACUCAGGGUUCCAAGGUGGUUGUUUCGGUUCCCAGCAAGAAGAUGGAGGAAGCCCAAGAGGAAAACAGGGCAUGCCAGUGUGAGGCUACCUCUUCUUAAAGAGCUUUCUCAGCAGUCCAACAGCUUUUGCUCACAUCACAUUGGCCAAAUGGUGUCAUUGGCCCCUGCUAUCUCUAAAGUUGCCUGAGAAAUGUAGUUUUGUAGGUGGACAUGUAACUACCUUCAACAAAAAUCUGAGUUCUCUUCAUAAGGAAGAAGGUAACAGUGUAUCUUGGGUGAACAACUUGUAGUCUGUGCCCCAAAUACAAAAUACAGCGGUAAAGAAGCAUAACGCUCAAGACGGUUCAAAACAGCAGCUCCUUCACAACAGGCAGCACGCCAAGCAGACUGCUGUGAUCUGAGGGUGACUAGAGUGAAGACAGGCCAGGUUUUCUCAUGAAACACUUACCAGGACUGACUGCUCUCUCAGCCGAUAUACCUGUCCCCAUCAGGCUUCUCUAGACGAGGACCCUGUGAACCCUUGGACUUUAUCGGAGGAUGUGCUUGCUUCUUGGAGGCUUGAAACGAGAUGAGGAAUGUUUUACCUUGCUGCUUCCACAUCUGCAUUGUUUAUCUUUUCUCUCAUUUUCCUAAAAAAAAAUUUGGUGCAGUCUAGUUGUGUAUUUGAUCCCCAUAAAAGGAUCAUUCUUUUCUUGUACAGGGGAGGGUAAUCUAUGUAAAGAAAGGCUACUUUACUCCCUUCUGUGUCUCCACCACCUCAUCUAGGAAUAUCAUGGAAGAAUUGCUUCUCAGAGCUGCCUCCAUAAACAGCCUACAUCCUGGCUAAGCAAAGAGAGAAGAAACACUUCCCACAUCCAGGGCUGUCCAAAAGAACUUUCUGUGAUGACAGAAAUGUUCCAUAUCUGCAGUGUCUAACACAGUAGCCACUAGCCACAUGGCUAGUGAACAAUUGAAAUGUUGCUACUGUGAUUGAGGAAGUAAAUUUUAAUGUUAUUUAAUUUUAAAUACUUUAAAUGUAAAUAGCCACAUGUGGCUAGUGACUAGUGUUGUAGACCAACCUUUCUCUUUCUUGUGUUUUACACCUUGCUGGGUGUGUAUGUGGGUGGGGGGGGUGUUGAAUAAGUUGUAUGCUUGACAUUCCAUGGUCUUUACUAUUCCACCUUGCCAUCGAACUUGUCUCCCAGAGGAAAGGGAAAAAUGGUAUUUUGGAACUAAAUUCAGAUGUUAACUUGACAUUUACACAUUGAACAUAUGUAUUUGUAUGUGUUUUUGUGUGAAUAGAAUGGUUUCCUGGGAAUAGGUCCUGGGGUUGAUUUCAGUGAUAACUGAGGAUGGGAAAGUGGUGGUGCUGGUCACUUGACUUUCCUAGUGAACAUUAUGUGUUCCUUGUCAUAGUCAGUAGAGCUUCUGUUGUGCAGUUCAUUCUGUUACUUUAUUUUUGUACUAUUGUGGCUGCUAAAUGAUUAUUCCAUGUCUGUUUUUCAAAAUACUUUGUGAUUUAUAUUUUUUAAAAGGCUAUGAAAUAAAACAUAGUAGCUCA